This 462-nucleotide ribosomal RNA is filed under the name Vreelandella stevensii. RNAcentral describes it as "partial 16S ribosomal RNA". It matches the Rfam family "Bacterial small subunit ribosomal RNA", at positions 338 to 792 of the family's 1533-position model. Lineage: Bacteria; Pseudomonadati; Pseudomonadota; Gammaproteobacteria; Oceanospirillales; Halomonadaceae. The record is from RNAcentral.
CCUACGGGCGGCAGCAGUGGGGAAUAUUGGACAAUGGGCGAAAGCCUGAUCCAGCCAUGCCGCGUGUGUGAAGAAGGCCUUCGGGUUGUAAAGCACUUUCAGUGGGGAAGAAAGCCUUGGGGCUAAUACCCUCGAGGAAGGACAUCACCCACAGAAGAAGCACCGGCUAACUCCGUGCCAGCAGCCGCGGUAAUACGGAGGGUGCGAGCGUUAAUCGGAAUUACUGGGCGUAAAGCGCGCGUAGGCGGUCUGAUAAGCCGGUUGUGAAAGCCCCGGGCUCAACCUGGGAACGGCAUCCGGAACUGUCAGGCUAGAGUGCAGGAGAGGAAGGUAGAAUUCCCGGUGUAGCGGUGAAAUGCGUAGAGAUCGGGAGGAAUACCAGUGGCGAAGGCGGCCUUCUGGACUGACACUGACGCUGAGGUGCGAAAGCGUGGGUAGCAAACAGGAUUAGAUACCCGGGUC